GGGAAAUCAGCCGGGCGUCUUCCGCAUCCACCUAUGGCAUCGUCUUCAUUCUCGGAUGCUCCGCCGGCGACCACUCCUCCGCUGCAAUCAACGAGCCGGUCCAACCGUCGAGAAUCAAUUCCUCCAAAUCAGCCCGUUCCGGCCACGAGUCCCACGCGGUGCAGCCAGCGACCGGAUCCCCCGCCUCUUCUUCCGAUCGUAACGCCUCCGAUCCAGCAAUCGCCCAGCACCCGAACACCUGCAACGUCUUUCCGUCCGGAUUCAUCCCUAGCACCAAGCCGUGAUCGGCUCCCAACAGCCGGAAACCCAG
This 310-nucleotide long non-coding RNA is filed under the name Phoenix dactylifera (date palm). Its description in RNAcentral is "long non-coding RNA (PDAC_LNC010861)". Lineage: Eukaryota; Viridiplantae; Streptophyta; Magnoliopsida; Arecales; Arecaceae. The record is from RNAcentral.